This is a long non-coding RNA of Fundulus heteroclitus (mummichog), 279 nucleotides long. RefSeq lists it as uncharacterized. The transcript is spliced from 3 exons. The record is from RefSeq and is a predicted model, not a curated record. NCBI's taxonomy places the organism in Eukaryota, Metazoa, Chordata, Actinopteri, Cyprinodontiformes, Fundulidae.
AGUUCUGGGCAAACACCCGAGAAUGCUGAGUUCAGUUCUGAAAUGAGGACAGAUUCAGCUGGCUGCACAAAAGAGGAGGACAAAGCUGUGUUUGAGGAUAUCCAGGAAGUCAAUCAGUCAUACCAGUGUGUGCAGCCGGUAGAGGAAAGGCCAUGGAGGAAAUCUGGGGCUGAUAUCUCAGAUUACUUUAACUAUGGUUUCGAUGAGGAAAGCUGGAAGGCGUACUGUAGGAAGCAUGCCAGACUUCAAACCUUCCAAUCACAUAUCGCUAAAGUCACG